Molecule: ribosomal RNA, 484 nt
Filed under: uncultured bacterium
Lineage: Bacteria
Description: bacterial SSU rRNA
Rfam family: Bacterial small subunit ribosomal RNA
Source: RNAcentral
GAUGAACGCUAGCGGGAGGCUUAACACAUGCAAGUCGAGGGGUAAAUGGUAGCAAUACUAUGAGACCGGCGGACGGGUGCGUAACGCGUAUGCAACAUACCUUGUGCAGGGGGAUAGCCCGUGGAAACGCGGAUUAAUAUUCCAUAGUCCAGCUAUAUCGCAUGGUAUAGUUGGUAAAGAUUUAUCGGCACAAGUUUGGCAUGCGUCUGAUUAGCUUGUUGGUAGGGUAACGGCCUACCAAGGCUACGAUCAGUAGGGGUUCUGAGAGGAUUAACCCCCACACUGGUACUGAGACACGGACCAGACUCCUACGGGAGGCAGCAGUGAGGAAUAUUGGACAAUGGAUGGAAAUCUGAUCCAGCCAUGCCGCGUGCAGGAAGACGGCCCUAUGGGUUGUAAACUGCUUUUAUAUGGGAGCAAUAAGGUUUACGCGUAGACCGAUGAGAGUACCAUAUGAAUAAGCAUCGGCUAACUCCGUGCCAGC